CAAUCAUCAGUUUGGUGAAUAAGUUCGCAGCUCCUUCUGCCCUGUUAAAGUGUCCGUGGGAAUCCCAAUUUGCUGCUGAUUUGUUGUGGUAGCUCACAGCCUUUGCUCUCUGAAUGAGUGGAUGAACAGCAAAAAGUGGUUUUAGAUAAAAGCUGUUUGUGCCGUCAAAUUUUCCACCUUUUUGUGACUGUUGCUGUUCCUCCACCACAGCCCAGCAAGGGAGCUCUAUGGACGUACAAAGAAGAAAUGAUGUCUUAAAGGCCACUAUGGAAAGGAGCAACACGUUCACCACCGAGUAACCACGUGUAUGUCACCUUGUUGUAUUUUCCCCACUGGUUCCCGUUUGGUAAUGACCCAACGGUACCAGAUUGUUAUGCAAGAAGAUCUAGGAAGAGUGACGGAUUUGCACCUGGAAGCUACAGUUCUGAUUAACUGCGGCUAAUAACCUUUCACUUGGUUCGUUUGAGUUGCAUGAGUUUGGUGUCAAAGAUCAUCGAGAUGUUAUUUCUCAUCUCUGUGCGCGACGAAUACAAUCGGAGGAGUGAAGUACACAGCUGAGGUGCCACAGGUGAGCGCCCUAAGGUGAAGGCAUCAUGAGUCAUAUGGCUCUGUCUGCCCUCAGGAUUAGUUUGAGAUUGAAAGUUUC
Molecule: long non-coding RNA, 646 nt
Organism: Scatophagus argus
Lineage: Eukaryota; Metazoa; Chordata; Actinopteri; Scatophagidae
Exons: 3
Source: RefSeq, a predicted model, not a curated record